This 282-nucleotide unclassified non-coding RNA is filed under the name uncultured fungus. RNAcentral describes it as "partial contains 5.8S ribosomal RNA, internal transcribed spacer 2, and large subunit ribosomal RNA". The record is from RNAcentral. Lineage: Eukaryota; Fungi.
AACGCACAUUGCGCCCCUCGGUAUUCCUGGGGGCAUGCCUGUUCGAGCGUCAUUACAACCAUCAAGCACAGCUUGGCAAUGGGCCAUCGUCCGGGCCUUUCGGCCCGGGCGUGCCCCAAAACCGUCGGCAGAGUCACGCGGACCCGCCGGGCGUAACAGAAAGGGAGGCGAGAGCCUACCAUACGUCCAACGCGAUCGCGCCUCGUGCCGUUAAACACUGGGCCUUCGGGCCCUCAUCACAAGGUUGACCUCGGAUCAGGUAGGGAUACCCGCUGAACUUAA